AAUUUUUUAUGGAGAGUUUGAUCCUGGCUCAGGAUGAACGCUGGCGGCGUGCCUAAUACAUGCAAGUCGAG
Molecule: ribosomal RNA, 71 nt
Filed under: Staphylococcus epidermidis
Lineage: Bacteria; Bacillati; Bacillota; Bacilli; Caryophanales; Staphylococcaceae
Also listed under: 1 other name
Description: partial 16S ribosomal RNA
Rfam family: Bacterial small subunit ribosomal RNA
Source: RNAcentral